CAUCUCCGGAGGUGGUGGUGCCAGCUUCUCAUUGAGAACUAUGAGAUUGAAGGAUAUGGCAAAAGAUUUUCGCAUACUGAAGGCGCUGGAGAGUUCACGGAACUGACGCCCAUAUUCCGCGUGCCAAGGAAACGCCACCUUCCUCCAGAGGAACAUUCAUACGACAAAAAACCAAAGCCUGACACGGAGGAGGGUGGACUUUUGGAG
Engraulis encrasicolus (European anchovy) is the source of this 207-nucleotide long non-coding RNA. RefSeq lists it as uncharacterized. The record is from RefSeq and is a predicted model, not a curated record. Lineage: Eukaryota; Metazoa; Chordata; Actinopteri; Clupeiformes; Engraulidae. The transcript has 3 exons.